CCACCCUCCCUCUGGUGUAUUGCUUCGAGUUACUAAAUCAUACCGCUUGUUAUAAAAUAAUUCCAACAGAGUAAGAACAUCUUCCCCGCCCCCUCCCCCCGGCUCUGUACGCGUGCAUGCUGUCGGGCUCCCCCAGAGAGGGGUCCUGGUACAGGGCUGGCACACAUCCAUUCAGGAUCGUCUGGCUGUGUCUGUCUUUUGCCCUGAGCCUCAGUGUCCCUCUCUGUAAAAUGGGGGCAAUGAUUUCUGCACGUGUGGUUACAAGAGUUAAGUGUGCUUAACAGGGGAGAGCGUCCCAGUACUGAAGACGGCCCUGCCAGAGGGGCCUGCGCCCUACUGCCCAGACACCCACCGGCGGCACACGCUCUUCUGUGGGACCCUCGUCCUGCAGGCGCGGGCCUUUGUGGGACCCCAUGUCCUGGCAGUGGUGACUCGAACAGGGUUCUGCACAGCAAAAGGGGGCCUGGUGAGCUCCAUCUUGCAUCCCCGGCCCAUCAACUUCAAGUUCUACAAACACAGCAUGAAGUUCGUGGCUGCUCUCUCUGUCCUGGCUCUCCUCGGCACUGUCUACAGCAUCUUCAUCCUCCACCGCAAGA
RNAcentral lists this long non-coding RNA (596 nucleotides) under Ursus maritimus (polar bear). RNAcentral's name for it is "lncRNA (ENSUMAG00000021418.1)". Lineage: Eukaryota; Metazoa; Chordata; Mammalia; Carnivora; Ursidae. The record is from RNAcentral.